GAUGUGCCAGCCUGAACCUUCUGGAGUCCACAUCCCACCCGUGCUGCUCCGGUGGGCAAUCCCAGUGCUGACCCGUUGGGGAACAGGACCGUGCCAGCCACCUCUGUGGGGACAUCCAUCUCCUGUUCACCGGAGAGGAGAGUGGGAAUCGGGAGCUGCACGAGGCACAGGGGCUGACCCCAAAACCCCACCUGCAGGUCCCUGGACACGGGUGACACCACCAGAGCCAUCAGUGGAGACAUCUUUGCUCCUGCAAGAUGGGAUGCAGUCACCGUCCCAGCAGAAAGAGCCGCAGGAGCACGUGGCUUCCAAGGAGACCUCUCACCUUCUGCUUGGGCUUCUCAGCCCUUCCUGCUCAGAUCACCCAACCUUGGAAAAUGGGA
RNAcentral lists this long non-coding RNA (383 nucleotides) under Columba livia (rock pigeon). Its description in RNAcentral is "partial uncharacterized LOC102094776". The record is from RNAcentral. Lineage: Eukaryota; Metazoa; Chordata; Aves; Columbiformes; Columbidae.